RNAcentral lists this non-coding RNA (209 nucleotides) under Holdemania filiformis. RNAcentral describes it as "T-box sequence". It matches the Rfam family "T-box leader". Rfam says of the family: Uncharged tRNA acts as the effector for transcription antitermination of genes in the T-box leader family. T-boxes are found upstream of many aminoacyl-tRNA synthetase genes and some amino acid biosynthetic genes usually in Gram-positive bacteria. The record is from RNAcentral. Lineage: Bacteria; Bacillati; Bacillota; Erysipelotrichia; Erysipelotrichales; Erysipelotrichaceae.
GUAAAGGUAGAGAAAAGAAGAGUAGCUUCUCCAUUUUCUGAAUCAGAGAGCCUGGGCAGGUGAAAGCAGGACGGAAAACAGAAGCGAACAUGGUCUUGGAACUGAUUAUCCGAACAGCGUAGGAUAAGACGUGACUUCGCGUUAAGAAGCAAGCGCAUAUCGAAAAGAUAUGAAGUAAGGUGGUACCGCGCGAAAUCAGCGUCCUUUCA